CAGUGGUGAUGACUUUUUUAGGACACCUUUGGAUUAAAUUGUGACACGACAGUGUAAUUCCUGAGCAGC
RNAcentral lists this small nucleolar RNA (69 nucleotides) under Geospiza fortis (medium ground-finch). Its description in RNAcentral is "Small nucleolar RNA SNORD58 (ENSGFOG00000009725.1)". It matches the Rfam family "Small nucleolar RNA SNORD58". From Rfam's summary of the family: snoRNA U58 is found in introns 1, 3 and 6 of the ribosomal protein RPL17 gene in humans. U58 is a member of the C/D class of snoRNA which contain C (UGAUGA) and D (CUGA) box motifs. Lineage: Eukaryota; Metazoa; Chordata; Aves; Passeriformes; Thraupidae. The record is from Rfam by way of RNAcentral. RNAcentral also lists the same sequence under 1 other name.